GGGGAUUUAGCUCAGCGGCAUAAGCACCUGUCUUGCAAGCAGGCGGUCGUGAUCCCCA
This 58-nucleotide transfer RNA is filed under the name Cavia porcellus (domestic guinea pig). The record is from Rfam by way of RNAcentral. Lineage: Eukaryota; Metazoa; Chordata; Mammalia; Rodentia; Caviidae.